AAAAAAUUAGUUAAUCUUAUAAUACAAGCUUGUCAAGCUUGAGUGAUCUUUCAGAUAUUUUUUA
RNAcentral lists this transfer RNA (64 nucleotides) under Gramastacus insolitus. RNAcentral describes it as "tRNA-Asp". The record is from RNAcentral. Lineage: Eukaryota; Metazoa; Arthropoda; Malacostraca; Decapoda; Parastacidae.